UCAAAAUCAUAUCUUGUAAUUUAUUGCAAUUAUAUCAUAGGCUAGCAACAUCAAAAAUAUAAAUGUCGGAGGUUCACUUUUAGGUGUUUGCAGUGACAAUGUGGACAGCUUAUAAAUUUGAAAAAGUAUCUUUGAAAUUUUGCAAGUUCAGAAAUUUUUCACUGUUUUUAUUAUUGCAAAAAUUGUUUUUUAUUAUUGCGAAAAUUAAUACUCGGUAGCUUUUACAAAAAUGAAAACACACAUUUGAAAUUAUUAUAUGUAUGCAGCAUUUCAGGAAUUUGUAAUAAUUAAUAUCAUAUUUUUGUACAUUACUCAACAAUCGCAAUAAUUUUUGCAUCCAAGCAUUUCUGAUUCAAUGUACAGUACAUGUGCAAAACAUGUAAUAUUUUGAAUAUUGUUUUUCUAAUAAUAAAUAACUUGUAUAUGGUAAUUCAAACUCAUGUGUAAGCAUGUCUAUAUAAUGCAGCAAUGAUAUCAACAAUCCUUCUCAUACUUUACAAAAUCAGAGGAACAUCGCUUUUAUGGCUGUUCUUCUGUUUAAAAUCAGUCUUGAUACUUUAUAAUUAUAUUUUAUUACUCUUCAUUGUAUAUUGAGAUUAUAUUUAUGUUCUUGGUUUUUAUUUCAUAACAUUUUAUAUUGUUCUAAUACUAAAUUGUGAUUUAAAUUGUAUUGUAUCAGUGCAUAAUUUUUAUGAAUUUUACAUGCAAUUUCUAUGAAUUGUCCCUUGUCAUUUAUUUUAUUAUAUAGAUCUUAUUGUUGCUGUAAUGAUAUUUCCCCAUAUUUCAAUAUAAAAGUGUAUUGUUUUGUAUAAAUACAGCCUUUCUUUUUUUCCCUUGCAAUGAUAGACUUGGAAGUGAGACUGUGUCCUACAUCAUUAUCCAUGGUAUCAACCAGAUUCGGUUAAACCGGAAACAUAAUUAUUAUCUCUUAGUUUAGUGUAUUAAGUUUUUCAAUACUUUCUUAUCUUAUAAACAGAUUGUACAGUUUCAAGUUUACAUUUUGUAAUUUUUAAUUCUUUGGCAAUUUUUCUGUUUUUUUGCCCAUUAUUUUAUAUUACUAACAUUCUAACAGCCAAUUAUUCUCCAUUCUAUAUUCUUUAAAGUUUUAGGUCAUUUUUCUCUUUCCUUGAUUAUUUUAUGACCCAUUAUUCUCUAUUCUGUACACCCAAUCUAAACCCUCAUUUAAGACCUUAUGUUUUCCUGAAAAUCCAGCAAAUUUGUUACUUUAAUAUUAUAAACUGUAAUUUCAGGAAUAAAUUUGAAGUUGAGUUUGAAAUAUUGUGAAAAAGUAGUCCUGAUGAAGGUUAAUCCAGAAAAUGGCUCAGAAGCGCCAAAUUUAUUAAGUGUUGCUUUCAUAUACUUUUAUUGAUAAUUACAUUUUAAUUUACAAUUGUAAUAUUCUACUGUAACAUGUGCAGGUAUCAUAUAAUCAAUCACACCUUAUUGUCAAUUAUUGAAUGUUUGUAUAUUGUAUAACUGUAAAGGAGUAGGCCUGGUAAGACCCCUGUUUGGCCCCAAAAUAUAGCAUUUUUACAAAUUUGUUGAAAAUGUAAACUCUAGCUAUUUAUUGGAAAGUUGAAUACUUUUGUUACAUAAAUAUUGGCUGUUUUUGGACAAUAAAAUACACAUGCAUCAUGUACUAGCAACAUUAUUUCAUGCAAAAUUACUGAAAUUUUAGCAUUUGUGCUAAUAAUUUUUAGAAGCUUUUUGUCUAAAAUGGAAGUAGCCGCACUUGUGUCAAAUCUUAAUAUUUGAAUAUACAUGUAUGUAGUAUUUGAUGAUACUACAUAAGAUGUAUAAAGGUUGAGACAGAACACGAAUGCGGCCACUAACAUUUUAGACAAAAACCAUCUGAAAAGAGACGCUUUAUAGCAUAUUAGGUAGAUUUUCAUACGACCGCAAAAAAAAUUUGUGGUCGUAUAUUGGUAUGACGUUGGCGGCGUCAUCGUCGUCGUCCGAAGACGCAUUGGUUUUCGCACUCUAACUUUAGUUUACGUGAAUGGAUCUCUAUGAAAUUUUACCACAAGGUUCAAUACCACAAAAGGAAGGUUGGGAUUGAUUUUGGGGGUUAUGGUACCAACAGUUCAGGAAUUAGGGGCCAAAAUGGGGCCAAAAAUAAGCAUUUUUGAAAGUUCCAGGCAUAACUUGUGUGUUAGUGUAUGGAUCUCUCUGACAUUGUACCACAAGGUUCCAUAUCACAAAAGGAAUGCUGGGAUUGAUUUUGGGGGUAAUUGCCUCAAAUUUUAGGAAUUAGGGGCCAAAAAAGGGGCAAAAAACAAGCAUUUUUCUAGUUUCAUGACAAUAACUUGUGUGUAAGUGUAUGGAUCUUUCUGAAAUUGUACUACAAGGUUCCAUAUCACAAAGGGAAAGCUGGGUUUGAGUUUGGGAGUAAUUGCCCUAAACGUUUAGGAAUUUGGGGCCAAAAAGGGCGAAAAAACAAGCAUUUUUCUAGUUUCCAGACAAUAACUUGUGUUCAAGUGUACGGAUCUCUCUGAAAUUGUACUGCAAGGCACCAUACAUUGUAACACAAAGGGAAGGCUGGGAUUGAGUUUGGGGGUGAUGAAUCAUAAGGGGGUUCAAAAAAUUUGAGGGGGGAUUUUUUCCUUUUUUUUCUUUAAAAGAAAAUUUUCCAUUUUAAAUUGGUUGUUUCUGAUUUAUAUAUAAAAGCAAAUAAUAAUGAUAUGGUUUGAAAAGGUAAAUUAAAAAUUUUUUAAGUUCUUAGACCACAUUCAUUCUGUGUCAGAAACCUAUGCUGUGUCAAAUAUUUAAUCACAAUCCAAAUUCAGUGCUGUAUCAAGCUUGAAUGUUGUGUCCAUACUUGCCCCAACAGUUCAGGGUUCGACCUCUGCGGUCGUAUCAAGCUGUGCCCAGCGGAGCAUUUUAUAUAUAUUUAAGCUUGCAUUUGAGGGUCAAAUUUUAAUGACCAAAUCAGUUCAAAUCUUUUACAUAAACUAAUUAAAUCGACUGAAGUAGACACUUAAGUGUUUAAAAAAUGUCAAAAAUCUUUCAUCAGAUGUAUUUCAAAUUUUAGGCCAAAUAUAGCUUUACUGGACCGGACCUUCUCCUUUACUGAAUUUUCAGUUAUUAAUCAUGAAAAAUAUUUUUAUAUUAAAUUUGUUGAAUGGGCCUCUUUCUUGUUCAGUUUAAUUUGAAGUUAGUGUUUUUUGUCAUUAGUAUAGAUCAGUAGAAUUAUUGAAAUAUUUUUCAGUAUAACUUAAAAACAUGCUACGCUCCUUUUGCUAAAAAUUGUUACAUGUGUGUGAUUCACUGACAAAAUUUUAAAAAAAUAAUCCCUACAGAAAAAUAAAAUGUCGAAGAUCAAAGAUUGCAAAGUUGUGAUAUAAAGAGUGCAAUUAUAUAAAUAAAACAAUCAACAUGUUUUAGUUAAUUUAUUUUACCGUACUUUAAUUGAUCAAGGUAUCAUUUUUUGUCAAACAGUGAGCACAAUAAUCGGUCAUAUUUGUUUUUUCGUAAAUUGUUUUGUUAUAAAUUAGGCCAUUAGUUUUCUCAAUUGAAUUGUUUCAAUCUUUCAUGUCGGGACCUUUUAUAGCCAACUAUACGGUAUGGGUUUUCCUCACAAGGCCGUAUGGUUGCCUAUAUAAUAUUGAGAGGUCCCAUCAUGUUAAAGUCAUCACCAAUGAAAUGAGUCAAUACAGUAACAUGUGCAAGUCAUCACCAAUGAAAUGAGCCAAUACAGUAACAUGUGCAAGUCAUCACCAAUGAAAUGAGCCAAUACAGUAACAUGUAGAAAAAACUAUAUGCAGAUCUCUUGAUGUUUAUUUAUGCUUUUAUUCUGUGGUAGGAUGUUUCUCUUAUUGAUGUUACACCACAUUACUUUUCUCAUAAUUAUGUACCUUUUUAAAAAUAAUUUGUCGAUCUGUCCUUGAAUCUUGAAAGUUCAUUCUUUAACCAAUGAAUGGAUUUCAAGGAGAAAUCAUUUCAAAGAAUUAUAGCAUGUUACCACGAAUUUCAAUUUAAACACAAAUAUUUAUUUUAAAAAGACCAUAGUUUCAUUAUAAGAUGUGAUCAUACAGGUGUGACCGAUAAUUGGCAGAUUCCAUAUAAGAAAUUGAAAUGUCUGUCAAAAUGAAUAAAUAAAUAAAAAUAAUAAUUACUGUUAUUUUAAAGAUAAUCUGUGAAUGUUUUGAAGAAUAAUGAUGUUAGAAGAAAUUAUAAAAAUAAUUUUUGGAUAUGAUUGUUUCCAUUUAAAGUAGAAAUGAUUAAAAAAAGUUGAAAAAAUGCAAAGAUUUUGACAGAAUUAACUCCCAUUUUUUUACACAAUGUUUAUGUGUUGCAAUGCUUUAUGUUGACACUUGUAUACUGGUAUUUACUAGUGUAGUCUGCUUAUUCAAACAUCCCUGUUCCCAAAUUUGUUACUUUUUUUAGUCAAAAACAUCUGUGAUAUAUAUUUUUUUUCACUUUCAAAUAUCUUGCUUUAUAGCUCAGUGUCUGUCAAUAAAUCUUAUGUCAGGAACAUCGCUGUAAAAACUUUCAAAAUCAUUGUAGGUUCCAAUAUAUGCCAGUUAAAACUGUAAGUCAUGCUGUGCAUAAGAAAAAACACAUGUUGAUUCUUUCAUUUAACUUUAUUCAAGCAAUAGUUUUAACUUAUAUGUUUCCUACAUAAGAUCUGUCAAACUUGUUUUCUUAUGUCUGAAACAUUUGAAUGUGCUAACAGUUAAAGUUCUUUGACCUGUAGUGAAAUCUUGUUAGAUGUUAGGCUGCAGUAAUUUCCAGGAGUUUUAAAAAUGACUUUCAACUAGGAUUUGAUUUCCAAUGUCUGUCAAAAAAAACAAAUAUAUAUUGUCUGUCAAAAUAUCUAAUGUAUGAAAAAUCUUAUGUCAGAAUCAAGUCUGUCAAAAUCUUAUGUCAGAAACCCAAUUUGUCUGUCAAAUCUUAUGUCAUAAAUAAUAAAGUCUGUCAAAUCUUAUGUCAGAAAAAAUAAAGUCUGUCAAAUCUUAUGUCAGAAAAAAUAAAGUCUGUCAAAUCUUAUGUCAGAAACAAUAAAGUCUGUCAAAUCUUAUGUCAGAAACAAUAAAGUCUGUCAAAUCUUAUGUCAGAAACAUAAUAUUUAAGGCUUCGUUUAUUUAAAAAGGAUGAUGCUCAUAAUUUUUUUUUUGGUCAAAUUGUCUUUAUCUUUAUUAGUAAAGCAUGUAUUCAAAAACAGAAGUUCAUUGCUUAUGAUUUUUGCCUAACGUGCUUAUGGGAGUUGUUUCACUUUCUUAUAUGGAAUCUGCCAAUUAAGAUAUUGAGGUAUCAUACACGUGAACUAUAUAUGCCUUCCAUGCAAUUUCCGAAAUUCAGUAUGCAAACGCUUCAAAUUUGGGUAUUUAAGUCCGGCGUUUUAAAAAAAUUAUUCAUUCUCUGUGAACAUGGUACGAAUAUCAGAGGCUCAAAGAUGGCAAAUUAUCAGCAUGCGGUCAACAGGGAUGCAGAAAUAACAAUGAUCCUAUGGUUUAAUGCAAUCAGCAGGCCAAAUGUGUAUUAGAUUUGAUAGACGAGCGUCAUGACAUUUAAAUAAGGCAUCAUCUCAAAAGUAUGAAUUUAUAUUGACUCAAUCAGCAUAAUUAUGAGUAGCAAUGCUAAAAAACUAUUUGUUUAAGCAAACAAUUGUAAGUGACGGUCUUUCCACCUUUCCCUGUCAUAAAUGUUUACCGAACAUGUUUUACUCCCAACAACUGAUGAAAUGACCCUUCCUCCUCCUCCUAUAUCAGAGCUAGGUUGGGGACCAGGUUUUCGAUUAAAUACACGGGCUGGGUUUCUAAGAACAUACGAAAACGAAACUACUUUAAGAAUAUUUUUAAGAUUCAAAUACGAUUAGAAAAAAAACAUAAUAGUAACAAAUUUAAGAAGAAGGUCAGAUUUCUAUACAAAUGAAAACAAAAUGCACACAAAACAAAUAAACAACACAUAAAUUCCGUGUGUCCCUAGAAAAAUAGAAAAUUUAAAAGGUACAUGCAAGGACAAUUUUGUAAGGGAGGGAGUGUUCAAUCUUUGCACCGUUCCUAGAAAUACCAUUAUUUGAAUACAAAUUACUGACAUGUUGCAAUUACCUGAACAGUGUGAUUUAAGGGGAUCCAUUCCUUGUGCAUUUAAUCGAAAAACUGGUCUUUCCUUUUUAUUUGUAGGAGGGCGAGCAUUUAACAUUCUCUGAGUAAAAACGUUGGUUUGAGGUCACACUAACAAUCAACAAAUUAAUUGAUCAAUAUCAAAUAAUCAUCUCUCUUUUCGUUAUGCAAACUGUCAAUCAACCAACCAAUUAAACUUUAAUGAUAAAUGAAUGAUAAAUUCGUCAACUUUGACAUAAUGCAAAAUUUCAAUCAAAACAACCAACAUAGCCACAUGUAGAUAUCCGUAAUGUUAUUUUUAAUCAUGCUACUAUUGUUGAUGAGAACUGUUUACAUAUGUCUGAUAAUGAAAAAAUGAUAUUUCUUUUUACAAAUGAAAGUAUGGUAUUUUAUGCUGCCAAAAUCUGCAAUGAAAUUUUAUUAAAGCGAAAAAAGAAUUUUAAACUCUUGAUAGUUGACUUGUAUUUGUAUUAUACUUAAAAAAUUGUUUUAUAGUUUCUCAUAACUCUUUAUAGAGUGGCUCUUUUUGUUAUCUUGUUUUUUACUAUGCUGUAUAUUUUAUAUGUAACAAGUGGUAAGACUUUAAUAAAGUAUUUUUCUUGUUU
Long non-coding RNA from Mytilus californianus (California mussel), 6670 nucleotides. RefSeq lists it as uncharacterized. The record is from RefSeq and is a predicted model, not a curated record. The transcript has 2 exons. NCBI's taxonomy places the organism in Eukaryota, Metazoa, Mollusca, Bivalvia, Mytilida, Mytilidae.